Molecule: long non-coding RNA, 1124 nt
Organism: Cyprinus carpio carpio
Lineage: Eukaryota; Metazoa; Chordata; Actinopteri; Cypriniformes; Cyprinidae
Source: Ensembl
AUCAAGAUGACCAUGCCAUUAUUACGGUGUUAAUCAUUCACAUCCAUAUUAUAAUGCUUAACUUCUCUUUGUAUGAUGAAAGUUCAAGUGAAUAACAUCACAAAUGGUUUGUUGCAAAACCUAGUGAGCAGAAACAGCAUAUUAAGGCGUCAUACAGUAGGUGCUCUCUCAACACAAAAGCUGUUCCACAAGGGCUUAACAGUAUUUCCAGAUGUUCCUGCAGUAAUGCUGCCAUCAGACUGGAGCAGGAGGAAAGGGACAAUGUUUGUUUUCAGAUGUAAAUGCAUGCAGUAUGCAGUUGUGUUUUUGUAAAAGACAUUUGUACAUCUCUGUGAAUGAAGGAAACAGCAUAACAAGUGCCAGCAAAUCACUGAGAUGGAGACAUGUGUCUUGACUCAUCACAAAAUUUGACACCGGUCUGUCUCCCUCCAUCGUCCUCUCCUUCAGUCUCGGACUAACUCGUAAAUUAUAGUCCAGGAGCAGCACACUGAAGAACAUAAAGCAGAGUCUUUCUGGUUGGCAGUUUACCAAAAAUUACAUCUCCAGUCACUAAUAUCAUUUCUGAAAUUUGCUAAUACUGUUUGCUUCCAUAUUUCUCAUUUCCUCAUUUGUGCUACUGUGCCUUUAAGACAUCUAAGUAAACAUCCUUUGCUAAAAUUAAUUCAGAUUAUUUGCUUACUUAUGGGUCGCUGUCUUGCUAACAGGUUAAAUAUAGUUGACACUGCGCUAUCCUUCAAUAACAUCCACUUAGAAAAGGAUGCAUUCAUUUAAGGCAUGAGUAUCACAAAAGUAUUAAAGUGCCCCUGUUAUGGAUUUUUGAAAAUUACCUUUCAUGCAGUGUGUAACACAGCUCUAAUGAAAGAGAACAUCCUGCAAAAAGUAACCUUAUUACUAGUAUGCUGAUCUCAUUGACGUGUGCUAAUAAGGCUUGCAUUAACUGUUUAAUGUAGGAUGACAAGUGGUAAUGUCUAAUAUUAACACACAUCUAUGUCAUGCGUUAAGUAUUUAAUUAAGAUUACAUCAUAAAGAUAAUUCAUCUGAAGGCACUAAUUAAUGGGGAAAAUACAUGCAAAACAGCCCAAGCUGUCAUAAUGCACACAGGCUGUUCUGCGGUUCACAUGAUG